GGUUAAGCGACUAAGCGUACACGGUGGAUGCCCUGGCAGUCAGAGGCGAUGAAGGACGUGCUAAUCUGCGAUAAGCGUCGGUAAGGUGAUAUGAACCGUUAUAACCGGCGAUUUCCGAAUGGGGAAACCCAGUGUGAUUCGUCACACUAUCAUUAACUGAAUCCAUAGGUUAAUGAGGCGAACCGGGGGAACUGAAACAUCUAAGUACCCCGAGGAAAAGAAAUCAACCGAGAUUCCCCCAGUAGCGGCGAGCGAACGGGGAGCAGCCCAGA
RNAcentral lists this ribosomal RNA (272 nucleotides) under Escherichia coli. RNAcentral's name for it is "partial 23S ribosomal RNA". It matches the Rfam family "Bacterial large subunit ribosomal RNA", at positions 1 to 273 of the family's 2925-position model. The record is from RNAcentral. Lineage: Bacteria; Pseudomonadati; Pseudomonadota; Gammaproteobacteria; Enterobacterales; Enterobacteriaceae.